Molecule: ribosomal RNA, 458 nt
Filed under: uncultured bacterium
Lineage: Bacteria
Description: partial 16S ribosomal RNA
Rfam family: Bacterial small subunit ribosomal RNA
Source: RNAcentral
CCUACGGGAGGCAGCAGUGGGGAAUAUUGCACAAUGGGGGAAACCCUGAUGCAGCGACGCCGCGUGAGUGAAGAAGUAUUUCGGUACGUAAAGCUCUAUCAGCAGGGAAGAAAAACCGGCCUUAGGGCCGCCAGACGGUACCUGACUAAGAAGCCCCGGCUAACUACGUACCAGCAGCCGCGGUAAGACGUAGGGGGCAAGCGUUAUCCGGAUUUACUGGGUGUAAAGGGAGCGUAGACGGCAGCGUAAGUCUGGAGUGAAAUGCCCGGGCCCAACCCCGGAACUGCUUUGGAAACUGUGUAGCUGGAGUGCAGGAGAGGUAAGCGGAAGUCCUAGUGUAGCGGGGAAAUGCGUAGAUAUUAGGAGGAACACCAGUGGCGAAGGCGGCUUACUGGACUGUAACUGACGUUGAGGCUCGAAAGCGUGGGGAGCAAACAGGAUUAGAUACCCGUGUAGUC